AUUGAACGCUGGCGGCAUGCCUUACACAUGCAAGUCGAACGGCAGCACGGGUGCUUGCCCCUGGUGGCGAGUGGCGAACGGGUGAGUAAUACAUCGGAACAUGUCCUGUAGUGGGGGAUAGCCCGGCGAAAGCCGGAUUAAUACCGCAUACGAUCUACGGAUGAAAGCGGGGGACCUUCGGGCCUCGCGCUAUAGGGUUGGCCGAUGGCUGAUUAGCUAGUUGGUGGGGUAAAGGCCUACCAAGGCGACGAUCAGUAGCUGGUCUGAGAGGACGACCAGCCACACUGGGACUGAGACACGGCCCAGACUCCUACGGGAGGCAGCAGUGGGGAAUUUUGGACAAUGGGCGAAAGCCUGAUCCAGCAAUGCCGCGUGUGUGAAGAAGGCCUUCGGGUUGUAAAGCACUUUUGUCCGGAAAGAAAUCCUUGGCCCUAAUACGGUCGGGGGAUGACGGGACCGGAAGAAUAAGCACCGGCGAACUACGU
This 485-nucleotide ribosomal RNA is filed under the name uncultured bacterium. Its description in RNAcentral is "partial 16S ribosomal RNA". It matches the Rfam family "Bacterial small subunit ribosomal RNA", at positions 30 to 506 of the family's 1533-position model. The record is from RNAcentral.